Theobroma cacao (cacao) is the source of this 1160-nucleotide RNA transcript. It is a transcript of the gene named potassium channel tetramerization domain-containing protein / pentapeptide repeat-containing protein, with no coding region annotated. NCBI's taxonomy places the organism in Eukaryota, Viridiplantae, Streptophyta, Magnoliopsida, Malvales, Malvaceae. The record is from RefSeq and is a predicted model, not a curated record.
ACUCCCAGCACACCCAUUUUCAGAGAGCUCAGCCUAGAAACAGUCUUUGCUCCUUGUGACAGUCACAACUGUAUAAUUUCCAAAAACGUGUUAGAGCAAAGUCUUUUCAAUUCACAAUUUUCACUUCACCUCCCCUCCCCCAUAUUCUCCUUUGCCUCUUCAGCUUCUCUCCAUGAUGAAAGAUUCCGAUUUGUCUUCCCUUAUUCGACUCAACAUUGGAGGGAAGAAAUUUUGUACGACUAUUGAUACAUUGACCUGCCGUGAGCCUGAGUCCAUGCUGGCAGCUAUGUUUAGUGGUCGCCAUACGUUGUGUCAGGACUCUGAGAAGGGAUAUGUCUUUGUUGAUAGGGAUGGAAAGCAUUUUCGGCAUAUUCUAAACUGGUUAAGGGAUGGUGUUGUUCCCACAUUGACAGAUUCUGGAUAUUCAGAGCUCAUAAGGGAGGCAGAAUAUUACCAGCUACUUGGACUAAUAGAAGGAAUCAGUUCUGUUUUAAAUAAGAGGAAGGAAGAUGAUGACUUGGGUGCUGAAUUGACACGUACUGAUAUCAUCAAGUGCAUACAGUCUGAAAGAGUUAGAUUUCGGGGAGUUAACCUUUCGGGCCUUGAUCUCUCUAAAUUGGAUCUUUCAUUUGUGGAUUUCAGCUUUGCCUGUCUUAAAAGUGUUUUCUUCUCACGUGCAAAUCUUCAGUGUGCAAAAUUUCGGGAUGUAGAUGCUGAGGGUUCUAUUUUUCACAAUGCAACUUUGCGUGAGUGUGAAUUUACUGGGGCAAAUCUUCGUGGGGCUUUACUAGCUGGUGCUAAUCUUCAGAGUGCAAAUCUUCAAGAUGCCUGUUUGAUAGAUUGUAGCUUCUGUGGGGCAGAUCUUCGUUCUGCACACUUACAGACUGCUGAUCUCACGAAUGCCAACUUAGAGGGAGCUAAUCUUGAAGGAGCCAAUUUGAAGGUAGACAGAUGCUUAAGGAUGGUGUUUCCAUAUCAAUUGCUUUGGGUGCAAAAUUAAAUAAUGCCAAUCUGAAGGGUGCAAACCUCCAACGAGCUUAUUUACGACAUGUUAAUCUUCGAGAUACACAUUUGGAAGGUGCUAAGCUUGAUGGUGCUAACUUGCUUGGAGCAAUCAGGUGAUGAUGUAGAAAGCUUGUAUAUAUACAUAUAUAUAUAUA